UCUUGGGUAGUAUAGUGGUCAGUAUACAAGCUUGUCACGCUUGGGACCCGGGUUCAAUUCCCGGCUCGAGAG
This 72-nucleotide transfer RNA is filed under the name Gnomoniopsis smithogilvyi. It matches the Rfam family "tRNA". From Rfam's summary of the family: Transfer RNA (tRNA) molecules are approximately 80 nucleotides in length. Their secondary structure includes four short double-helical elements and three loops (D, anti-codon, and T loops). Further hydrogen bonds mediate the characteristic L-shaped molecular structure. tRNAs have two regions of fundamental functional importance: the anti-codon, which is responsible for specific mRNA codon recognition, and the 3' end, to which the tRNAs corresponding amino acid is attached (by aminoacyl-tRNA synthetases). tRNAs cope with the degeneracy of the genetic code in two manners: having more than one tRNA (with a specific anti-codon) for a particular amino acid; and 'wobble' base-pairing, i.e. permitting non-standard base-pairing at the 3rd anti-codon position. Lineage: Eukaryota; Fungi; Ascomycota; Sordariomycetes; Diaporthales; Gnomoniaceae. RNAcentral also lists the same sequence under 1 other name. The record is from Rfam by way of RNAcentral.